This 478-nucleotide ribosomal RNA is filed under the name uncultured bacterium. RNAcentral describes it as "bacterial SSU rRNA". It matches the Rfam family "Bacterial small subunit ribosomal RNA", at positions 28 to 526 of the family's 1533-position model. The record is from RNAcentral.
GACGAACGCUGGCGGCGUGCUUAACACAUGCAAGUCGAACGGAAAGGCCCGCUUGCGGGUACUCGAGUGGCGAACGGGUGAGUAACACGUGGGUAACCUGCCCUCAGCUCUGGGAUAACAGUUGGAAACAGCUGCUAAUACCGGAUAUCACUUCGCACCGCAUGGUGUGGGGUUGAAAGUUUUUCGGCUGGGGAUGGGCCCGCGGCCUAUCAGCUUGUUGGUGGGGUGAUGGCCUACCAAGGCGACGACGGGUAGCCGGCCUGAGAGGGCGACCGGCCACACUGGGACUGAGACACGGCCCAGACUCCUACGGGAGGCAGCAGUGGGGAAUAUUGCGCAAUGGGCGAAAGCCUGACGCAGCGACGCCGCGUGAGGGAUGAAGGCCUUCGGGUUGUAAACCUCUUUCAGCAGGAACGAAAAUAGACGGUACCUGCAGAAGAAGCACCGGCUAACUACGUGCCAGCCGCCGCGGUAACAC